Mirounga angustirostris (Northern elephant seal) is the source of this 7009-nucleotide RNA transcript. It is a transcript of the gene named olfactory receptor 10V1-like, with no coding region annotated. The record is from RefSeq and is a predicted model, not a curated record. Lineage: Eukaryota; Metazoa; Chordata; Mammalia; Carnivora; Phocidae. The transcript is spliced from 9 exons.
GUCUGAGCCUGGACACUUUGGAUUUGGAAAUAGAAGUUCUGGGUGGGAAUCGGUGCUUUGUCACUGGCCAUCAGAUUUUGGGCAAGUUAUCUAAACAUCUCUGAGCCGUAAUUUCUUUGUAAAAUGGGUUUAAUGGUACCUGCCUCACAGAGUAGUGGUUCAAUGGCAUGAUGAUGUUACUGUUACUAAUAAUGGUUGAAAUCUGCCUGGCAUUCUGCUAUGUGCUGUAUAUGGAUUAUCUCAUUAAAUCCUUCCUUAUGCCAACCCCGCGAGGACCAUGAACCAGUUGUGAUCUUCUCACUGACACUCCCAGUGAACUCAGAACAAACCAGCAAAUGGCUUUUCUCAGGGCCAAGGUGUAAGUAUGUGGGUGUGGCAUUGUUAUUACUCCAAUUUGAACCAGGACAAUCUAGUCCCAUGAGGGAAUCCAGUGACUAUAAAGAUUUUAUUUAUUUAUUCACGAGAGACAGAGGCAGAGGGAGAAGCAGGCUCCCCGCGGAGCAGAGAGCCUGAUGCGGGACUCAAUCCCAGGACCCUGGGAUCAUGACCUGAGCCGAAGGCAGACGCUUAACCGACUGAGCCACCCAGGUGUCCUGCAAACUCAAUUUUUCUAUUAUAUAUUUGACAAUAGCUCCAAAUUUAUUUGAUGAUGUAUUAGCAUUUUAAGUGUGCAACUGACCUGAGAGGAGGAGACAAUAAACAGGAACCUAGAGGAACUGUCCCUCAAAGAUGCAGAACUUUGAGAGAGAAUGCAGACUGCUCUUGCUGAGACAAAAGAUGAUGUAUUAGCAUUUUAAGUGUGCAACUGACCUGAGAGGAGGAGACAAUAAACAGGAACCUACAGGAACUGUCCCACAAAGAUGCAGAACUUUGAAAGAGAAUGAGGACUGCUCUUGCUGAGACAAAAGGUGAUUUUAUGUCAGCUGGGGCAGCUCUGCUUUAGGUUACAGGCUGGCUACGCUUGGAUCCAGGCUUUAGAUUAUGUUCAGGUCUGCUGCACAGAUCUUGUUUUGGGAUUGAUGGGUCAGCUGCUUCCUGGGGCAUGCUUUCCUCAUUGUGAUACAGGAAGACAAAUUCAAUUUGAAGGACAUUCUACAAAAUACCUCACCAGGAGUUCUCAAACUGCCACAGUUAUCAAAUAUAAGGAAAGUCUAAGAAACUCACAGCCAAGAAGGACCUAAAGAGACAUGAUGACUGAAUGUAGUGUGGUAUCCUUGAUGGGAUCCUUGAACACUUGGACAUUAGGUAAAAAAAUAAGGUAAUCUGAAUAAAGUAUGAGCUUUAGUUAGUAAUAACAUGUCAAUGUUGGUGAAUUAGUUAUGACAAAUGUACUAUAGUUGUGUUAACAAUGGGGGAAAUUGAGUGCAGUGUGCACACAUUCAGUCUUACCUAAAGUGGAUAUUCCCCGCUCGGUUACUUCUUAUUCCUUCACCAUGGUUACUGCCUUCAUAGCAACUACUGUAGUCUAUCAUGAUCUUUUUUUAUUUGUUUACUGCCUGCCCCUCCCAUUAGAUUGUAACCUUCACAAGGGCAAAGAUCUUCUCUGUUCAGUCUGUUGCGUUCCCACUAUGUUGGAGGUUGCUAUACAUAGUAGAUGAUUAAUAAAUAGCUGUUAAAUGAAUGAAGGAAGGAAUUAUUGAUAGUUGUUACCAAGACUUGAAGGAUCAUUGCAACUGGAGCAGAACUAACUCAUUACUUUAUGUUAUAAAUAAGCCAUACUUCAUGCAUUCUCUAAAGAGAGGUAAUAGGGAAAGUAUCUUGAUCUAGGCUCCAUUUCUCUCUCCCUCUCUACCUCUUGUCUCCUUUCUUUCUUUCUUUCUUUCUUUCUUUCUUUCUUUCUUUCUUUCUUUCUUUCUUUCUUUCUUUCUUUCUUUCUUUCUUUCUUCUUUCCUUUCUUUCUUCCCUACUUCCUUCCCUCCCUCCCUUUCUCUCUUUCCUUCCUUCCUUCUUUCUAUAAUAAAAAGAAUAAUUUCGCCAAGCAUCCUGUGAAGGGUAGCCUGGAGUUUCUUCUUGGAAGGUGUGUAAAUAAGGGUGCUAACAUGCAUUUGUUGUUCAUGCUGGGAAGUUCCUCACUUCUCUUCAUUUCUUAAUUGAGUCAACUGGAAGAAAUACAUAUUAUCAUGGAUGUAUACCAUAAGAGACUCAGACUUUUGCUAUUGAGAUGUUGUCACUGAAGCAGAAACACCUAGGUACUAUGGGUAAAGAAAGUCUCUGUGCACAGCUGGGGGCCUCCCCACCUCCUGGGAUCACUGAAAGCAAGGGUAUGACACAGAGGCUGGGAAUCCUGAAAGUCACAAAAGAAUAGUUGGAUGAUACACCCUGGGCGUAGUGUGUCAUCCUACAUGUUUCAUGAAGAGCAGUGGUGGACAACUAAGAAGGAUGGUACUUUAUAUGGUCUGUGUUAGUCUUUGAAGUAUUUCUGUACUUUGAUUGGUGUGUUCAAUUUCUUCCAUUAGGUUAUUUAACCUGUAGUUUUCCAGAUGAUUUUUUUGACUGCCACCUAUUCACUGUGGCAAGUUUUGUGAGAUAUUCUAAGACAUAUUAGGUGUGGUCUCUGCCAUCAAUGAGGUCAGCAUCUGACUUGGGAGAUAAAACACAAGGGCAUGAAAUGUGAGUAAGGUCCAAUGCGAGACUAUCCCUUGAAAGGGAUGUUAUCGUAGAGGAGGGAGGGACAAGAAAAGUCACACAAUGCUUCACGUGGAGGCAAAAACUGAGCUGGCCCUGAAUGCAUGGCUGUAAAUUAAGGAUUCAUAAAUUAAUUCAAUAUUUUUGAGAUCUCUAGGCAUCAAGCUAAUGGAGAUAGUUUCUUCCUCCAAAGAGGUCACAGUGUACUUGAGGGAGAUAAAUAAGGGCACUACAAGUGUUACAGGUGCUGUGAUGGAGUUAUACACAAGGUACAGAGGGAACACGGGGGAUGGUGUGGUCACUUGUCCUCGUGUGGGGGUGGGGAGGGUGGUCAGGAAAGACUAUUUAGAUGAAGUGUCACUGAGCUGAACAGCUCAAUAAAAUACAGUUCGUAUAUGUUACCACAGUUACAAUUCUUUUUCUUGUGAUGAGAACUUUUAAGAUCUCCUCCCUUAGCGACUAUCAAAUGUACAAUACAGUAUUGUUAACUAUAGUCACCAUGUGGUACAUUGCAUCACCAGGACUUAUUAUUUCAGAACCGGAAGUUUGUACCUUUUGACCCACUUCACCCUUUUUGGCCAACCCUUCAUCCGCUACCUCUGGCAACCAUGAAUACAUUCUCUGUAUCUAUGAGUUUGGGCUUUUGUUUUUAAAAAUAUGGAAUGCUUCAUGAAUUUGCAUGUCAUCCUUGUGCAGGCACCAUGCUAAUCUCUGUAUCGUUCCAGUCUUAGUAAACUGUGCUGUGAAGCAAACACUCAUUUCUUUUUUUUUUUUUUUAAAGAUUUUAUUUAUUUAUUUAAGACAGAGAGAAUGAGAGACAGCAUGAGAGGGAGGAGGGUCAGAGGGAGAAGCAGACUCCCUGCCGAGCAGGGAGCCCGAUGCGGGACUCGAUCCUGGGACUCCAGGAUCAUGACCUGAGCCGAAGGCAGUCGCUUAACCAACUGAGCCACCCAGGCGCCCCUCAUUUCUUUUCAAAUAAUGAGAAAGUCAUAUGGCAACAUCUGACUUUAAAAAGACCUCAGAAUGAAACCACCUUUGGGAGGGUGUGUUUCCCAAGUCAGAGACCCAAAGAACCCCAGCCCUCGGACUUUCUGUCCUACUUGGGAGAAGACAAGGAUAACUGCUAUCCCAUUUUGUCAUGCCCACGUUGUUCAUUUUCACUUGCUGAUUGAGAAGCAGCUAAAAUCUAUUACUGUGGGGUAAAAGCACCACAGAAACCUGUCCAAGGUGAGGACAAAUGGCCCGAGAAUUGAAUAGAACUCAGGAGAAUUAAUGAAUCAAAGUCAGUGCUCUUAGAUAUCUUAGAUACUAAUAAGCUUAAUCCUCUUAUUUUCUAGAUACUGGGACAGAGGCUUGAAGGAUGAUAGUGACUUUCCCAGCUUACGGCUUCUAGAAACCAUGUCUCCAUGUCUCUGAAUCUCAACCCCAUGAUGCUUCUUCCAGAGAACUAUGGUAGAUGCUCUGAUGCCCGUUGCAAUAACCCAUAACUCCUCUCAUCUUUCACACCCCCCACAGGUUUCUCAGACAUCCUGCUUUCCUCUGUCAGCCCUAUCUCCAUGUCCUCACCUGAUUUGUUUUUCUAGUGUCUUCUGACUCAUUUUUUUUUAAAGAUUUUAUUUGAGAGAGAGAAAGAGAGAGAGAGCACAAGCAAGGAGAGCAGCAGAGGGAGAGGGAGAAGCAGGGCUCCCGCGGAGCAGGGAGCCUGAUGUGGGGCUCGAUCCCAGGACCCUGGGAUCAUGACCUGAGCCGAAGGCAGACGCUUAACCAAUUGAACCACCCAAGUGCCCCUCACCUUUUCUUCAUUAUCCUCUUUCCUCUGCUUCUAAACACUGCAAUACUGUAAAAGGAUGAAAGAAACCUGAGAGUCUGUUUGGGAUUUUCUUCUGGGUGUAAUUGCAGAGUAUGCCUGUCCCUUUGGCUCUUUAUUAUUAUUAUUUUUAAGAUUUUAUUUAUUUAUUUGUCAGAGAGAGAGCGCGUGCACAAACAGGGGAAGGGGCAGGCAGAGCAGGCAGAGGGAGAAGCAGGCUCCCCGCUGAGCAGGGAGCCCUAUGCAGGACUCCAUCCCAGGACCCUGGGAUCAUGACCUGAGACACUUAACAGACUGAGCCACCCAGGCAUCCCUGGCUCUUUACUUUUGGAAUGAAAAGGAACAGCAUCAAUAACAUCCCCUCUGCAGCAAGUGAGAGUUACAAAUUCUCAAAAUUUUUCUAUGAAUGAUGGCAGUUUAAAAAUACCCUUGUGGGUGCCUGGGUGGUUCAGUUGGUUAAGUGCCUUCGGCUCAGGUCAUGGUACCAGGGUCCUGGGAUCGAGUCCCACAUCAGGCUCCCGGCUCAGCAGGAAGCCUGCUUCUCCCUUUCCCACUCCCCCUGCUUGUGUUCCCUCUCUCGCUGUGUCUCUCUCUCUCUAAUAAAGAAAUAAAAUCUUUAAAAAAAUACCCUUGCUAAAAUUGGGUUAAAUAUAGCAAAUUAUAUGAUAUUCUUUUAAUAUGCAGUAAUAAUAGUUACCCACUUCCUUCAGAUGGAUAUUUUAUAGUUCCCAUUUGUAUUUUUUUAUUAUCUGUAAGUCUUAGGGAACAUAGGACUUACCGAUAUAGAAUCAAAUAAAGCAUUAAAAAAUUAGUAAUAGCAAUAAAUGUUUCAAAAAAGUUUUUAAUAAGAAUGGACAUUUAUCAGUAGCAUUAAAAAAAACCCUGAAAACCAGAAAAAAAUUAUCUCCAAAGCUAGUCCUGUUCAAUUCCACAAAUAUUUAUGGAGUACCACCACUGCUAAACGAGCAGUGAAGGAUAAAAAUGGUAGAAAAAGGGUAGAACACAAUCCUUUCGUAUAAAGAACAUACAAUUUUUUUUUUUAAAGAUUUUAUUUAUUUAUUUGAGAGAGAGCCCAUGAGAGGGGGGAGGGUCAGAGGGAGAAGCAGGCUCCCCGCCGAGCAGGGAGCCCGAUGCGGGACUCGAUCCCGGGACUCCAGGAUCAUGACCUGAGCCGAAGGCAGUCGCUUAACCGACUGAGCCACCCAGGCGCCCCAAGAACAUACAAUUUUUAUGAGCGGCAAGGCACUCUCCCUAGGUGUAAUUUAUCUCUUCAUAGUAAAUCAGCUGAGUCUAAUAAAUGCUAGCCACUGCACUAGGUGCUGGAAAUUCAAGAAUAAAUGGCAUAUUCUCCAUUCCCAAGAUACUCACAACUAUUGAAUGUUUCUUUUCCCAUUCAGAUGAAGAUAUAAACGAAAUGUAUAAACUACCAGUGGGUUUCAAAACAAUAAGCCAUCUCAAUGCGAAUCCCUAGUAAAAUUCUGGAAACGCGUGAUUAAAUAAAUAAUUCGUAGGCAUUUUGAAAAGCCUGGUGAUUACUAAGAAGAGCCUGUAUGAAGUGACCCAAGAUAAAUCGUGCCAAAUACACUUUCCUUUUAAAAUAAGGCUUUUCAUAACAUAAUAAAAUAAUUUUAAAAUUUUAAAAACUUUAAAAAAGUAAAAUUUAUUUGAGAAACAAAAAAAAAAUAAGGCUUUUCAAUGGUUAGAUUUAUAUCCGUACUGUAAUGUAUUUUGAUUGUAUGAAAAGAUUUGAUAGGCUUUCCAUGAUAUUCUUCUUGGAGAGAUGGUUUAUUACAGAUUGGAUGGUGAAUUGGUUAUUAUUAUUUUUUUAAGACUUUAUUUAUUUUUAUUUUGAGAGAGAGAGAGAGAGAGAGAGAAACAGCAUGAGAGGGGAUAGGGUCAGAGGGAGAAGCAGGCUCCCCGCCGAGCCAGGAGCCCGACGCAGGACUCGAUCCCAGGACUCCGGGAUCAUGACCUGAGCCGAAGGCAGUUGCUCAACCAACUGAGCCACCCAGGUGCCCCAAGAAUUGGUUAUUUUUUGAUGCAAAAUAUACCAGUUCAAACUUAAUGACUUACAAUAUCAAUCAUUUUCUUGGCCCAUGUUUCUGUGGGUCAACAUUUUAGGCUCGUUCGGCUGGGUAGUUCUUCUGCCGGAAUCACUAAUGUGACUGCAAUCAUCUGGAGGAUGGACUGGGGUUGGUCUAGGGAACCUUCUUGAUGGCCUAUCUCUAGGUGUUAUCCUAGCCCCAACAUCUUCAUGUGACAGUCACAGGGCAGCAAGAGAGGACAGACGCCAAAGGUGGAUUCCAGUGAGGAAUUGGCCCUGCCUACAGUGAAGAAAAGGAUGAAUGAAUGGACGCAUAGAGACCCAAUAGCAGUUGAUACAAUGGAUGCUGUCCUGUUACCUGUUUUAAGAGCCUACAUCCUUGGCGGUACACAGGCCCAAUGGAUUGAUGCAUUCAAAUGUCUUAUGACCUUUCUCUUUGCCUGCUCAAGUCCCACUGCCUUAAUAAAGUCUGUCCGGCCACUCUUCUGACAGCGAUCCUUCUCUUUUCAUUAAAUCACACUUCUUUUUAUGUA